Cynocephalus volans (Philippine flying lemur) is the source of this 144-nucleotide small nucleolar RNA. RefSeq annotates it as small nucleolar RNA SNORA57. The record is from RefSeq and is a predicted model, not a curated record. The transcript has a single exon. NCBI's taxonomy places the organism in Eukaryota, Metazoa, Chordata, Mammalia, Dermoptera, Cynocephalidae.
CCUCCUUGGCAGUGACUGGGCAUGCAGUCCCACUCCUUGUUAUGUAUGGAGGCAGAAGGAAAGGGCUCAGGCCCCCUCAGUGUCAUGUCUUCAGUGCAAGCAGCUUCCUGUCCGCCAGUUCUAUCCUCAAGCACUGGGACCAGG